This 782-nucleotide ribosomal RNA is filed under the name Salmonella enterica subsp. enterica serovar Cerro. Its description in RNAcentral is "partial 23S ribosomal RNA". It matches the Rfam family "Bacterial large subunit ribosomal RNA", at positions 1 to 816 of the family's 2925-position model. The record is from RNAcentral. Lineage: Bacteria; Pseudomonadati; Pseudomonadota; Gammaproteobacteria; Enterobacterales; Enterobacteriaceae.
GGGUUGUGAGGUUAAGCGACUAAGCGUACACGGUGGAUGCCCUGGCAGUCAGAGGCGAUGAAGGGCGUGCUAAUCUGCGAUAAGCGCCGGUAAGGUGAUAUGAACCGUUAUAACCGGCGAUACCCGAAUGGGGAAACCCAGUGUGACUCGUCACACUAUCAUUAACUGAAUCCAUAGGUUAAUGAGGCGAACCGGGGGAACUGAAACAUCUAAGUACCCCGAGGAAAAGAAAUCAACCGAGAUUCCCCCAGUAGCGGCGAGCGAACGGGGAGGAGCCCAGAGCCUGAAUCAGCAUGUGUGUUAGUGGAAGCGUCUGGAAAGGCGCGCGAUACAGGGUGACAGCCCCGUACACAAAAGCGCAUGUGCUGUGAGCUCGAUGAGUAGGGCGGGACACGUGGUAUCCUGUCUGAAUAUGGGGGGACCAUCCUCCAAGGCUAAAUACUCCUGACUGACCGAUAGUGAACCAGUACCGUGAGGGAAAGGCGAAAAGAACCCCGGCGAGGGGAGUGAAAAAGAACCUGAAACCGUGUACGUACAAGCAGUGGGAGCACCCUUUUGGGUGUGACUGCGUACCUUUUGUAUAAUGGGUCAGCGACUUAUAUUCUGUAGCAAGGUUAACCGAAUAGGGGAGCCGCAGGGAAACCGAGUCUUAACCGGGCGUUAAGUUGCAGGGUAUAGACCCGAAACCCGGUGAUCUAGCCAUGGGCAGGUUGAAGGUUGGGUAACACUAACUGGAGGACCGAACCGACUAAUGUUGAAAAAUUAGCGGAUGACCUGUGGCU